UUGAACGCUGGCGGAAUGCUUUACACAUGCAAGUCGAGCGGCAGCGCGGGGCAACCUGGCGGCGAGCGGCGAACGGGUGAGUAACAUAUCGGAACGUACCUAUUUGAGGGGGAUAACGCAGCGAAAGUUGUGCUAAUACCGCAUAAGACCUGAGGGUGAAAGUGGGGGACCGCAAGGCCUCACGCGAAUAGAGCGGCCGAUAUCUGAUUAGCUAGUUGGUAGGGUAAAGGCCUACCAAGGCGACGAUCAGUAGCUGGUCUGAGAGGACGACCAGCCACACUGGGACUGAGACACGGCCCAGACUCCUACGGGAGGCAGCAGUGGGGAAUUUUGGACAAUGGGGGCAACCCUGAUCCAGCCAUUCCGCGUGAGUGAAGAAGGCCUUCGGGUUGUAAAGCCCUUUCGACGGGGAGGAAGGCACCGGCGCGAAUAGCGUUGGUGAUUGACGUAACCUGGAGAAGAAGCACCGGCUAACUCCGU
Molecule: ribosomal RNA, 480 nt
Filed under: uncultured bacterium
Lineage: Bacteria
Description: bacterial SSU rRNA
Rfam family: Bacterial small subunit ribosomal RNA
Source: RNAcentral